CCUACGGGAGGCUGCAGUGAGGAAUAUUGGUCAAUGGGCGCGAGCCUGAACCAGCCAAGUCGCGUGAGGGAAGACGGUCCUAUGGAUUGUAAACCUCUUUUGUCGGGGAGCAAAAGACGCCACGCGUGGCGUUCCGAGAGUACCCGAAGAAAAAGCAUCGGCUAACUCGGUGCCAGCGGCCGCGGUAAUACGGAGGAUGCGCGCGUUAUCCGGUUUUAUUGGGUUUAAAGGGUGAGCAGGCGGAAGAUCAAGUCAGCGGUAAAAGUGAGAGGCUCAACCUCUUCGAGCCGUUGAAACUGGUUUUCUUGAGUGAGCGAGAGGUAUGCGGAAUGCGUGGUGUAGCGGUGAAAUGCAUAGAUAUCACGCAGAACUCCGAUUGCGAAGGCAGCAUACCGGCGCUCAACUGACGCUGAUGCACGAAAGUGUGGGUAUCGAACAGGAUUAGAUACCCCGGUAGUC
RNAcentral lists this ribosomal RNA (459 nucleotides) under uncultured bacterium. RNAcentral describes it as "partial 16S ribosomal RNA". It matches the Rfam family "Bacterial small subunit ribosomal RNA", at positions 338 to 795 of the family's 1533-position model. The record is from RNAcentral.